This 460-nucleotide small RNA is filed under the name Geotalea uraniireducens Rf4. RNAcentral's name for it is "Geobacter uraniireducens Rf4 cspA thermoregulator". It matches the Rfam family "cspA thermoregulator", at positions 75 to 428 of the family's 428-position model. The record is from Rfam by way of RNAcentral. Lineage: Bacteria; Pseudomonadati; Thermodesulfobacteriota; Desulfuromonadia; Geobacterales; Geobacteraceae.
UCCGGCACCGAGCCGGUGCUGCGGCUUUACAGCGAGGCAAAUGAUCCGGGCGUUGUCGCGGAACUGCUCCAGGCCGGGCGGGAAAUUGCAGGCAUCUGAACGGAAAAUAAAUGCUUGACAUGAUUGGCCGAAACCCGUAAGCUCACCAAGAUGUCCAGGGAUUACGUCUGGGUAAAAUUAACAAGGCAGUAGUAGGAGAAAGUUAGAAUGGCAAACGGUACGGUAAAAUGGUUCAAUGACAGCAAGGGUUUUGGCUUUAUCGAGCAGGAUAAUGGCGAUGAUGUGUUCGUGCACUUCUCCGCAAUCAUGGGCGAUGGUUUCAAAUCUCUGGCCGAAGGCGAGGCAGUAACAUUCGAAGUGCAGAAAGGCCCAAAAGGUCUUCAGGCAGCCAACGUCAACAGAGUUUAAAGAUAUCUUUAAACACAACCAAAAGGCCCCGGAGCGAUCCGGGGCUUUUUUU